RNAcentral lists this transfer RNA (104 nucleotides) under Metallosphaera tengchongensis. RNAcentral describes it as "tRNA-Gly". The record is from RNAcentral. Lineage: Archaea; Thermoproteati; Thermoproteota; Thermoprotei; Sulfolobales; Sulfolobaceae.
GCGUACUGGCGUAAAUUGGUAACUAACGCUACUUUACGCCUCUCAAAAACGUCUUCCUGCGCCUUCCAAGCCAGAAGUCCCGGGUUCAAAUCCCGGCGGUCGCA